GCCCCUGUAGCUCAGUCGGUAGAGCAGUGGACUGAAAAUCCAUGUGUCGGUGGUUCAAUUCCGCCCGGGGGCACCA
This 76-nucleotide transfer RNA is filed under the name Acidobacteriota bacterium. Its description in RNAcentral is "Acidobacteria bacterium (groundwater metagenome) tRNA-Phe". It matches the Rfam family "tRNA". Rfam says of the family: Transfer RNA (tRNA) molecules are approximately 80 nucleotides in length. The record is from RNAcentral. Lineage: Bacteria; Pseudomonadati; Acidobacteriota.